GCGGGUGUGGCGGAAUUGGCAGACGCACCAGACUUAGGAUCUGGCGCCGCACAGCGUGGGGGUUCGACUCCCUUCACCCGCA
RNAcentral lists this transfer RNA (82 nucleotides) under Heyndrickxia coagulans. RNAcentral's name for it is "tRNA-Leu". It matches the Rfam family "tRNA". Rfam says of the family: Transfer RNA (tRNA) molecules are approximately 80 nucleotides in length. Their secondary structure includes four short double-helical elements and three loops (D, anti-codon, and T loops). Further hydrogen bonds mediate the characteristic L-shaped molecular structure. tRNAs have two regions of fundamental functional importance: the anti-codon, which is responsible for specific mRNA codon recognition, and the 3' end, to which the tRNAs corresponding amino acid is attached (by aminoacyl-tRNA synthetases). tRNAs cope with the degeneracy of the genetic code in two manners: having more than one tRNA (with a specific anti-codon) for a particular amino acid; and 'wobble' base-pairing, i.e. permitting non-standard base-pairing at the 3rd anti-codon position. The record is from RNAcentral. Lineage: Bacteria; Bacillati; Bacillota; Bacilli; Caryophanales; Bacillaceae.